GGUCAGUGAUGAAUAGUAAAAGGUCUGACUGCCUGAAAAGUUCUCCCAUAUCCAGUUUCUCUCCCAGCAGCCUCUCUGUUUUCCCAUCGGGCUCCAGCUGUGCUUUGAUUGGCUACUUAUGCUGCUGACAGGUUUUGAUACUGAAUCCUGCAUUUCCAAAAGAAUAGGGAAAGUGCAGUAACAAGUAUUGUACAUGGUUAUGUAAUAAAGGAGAGCAAGGAUGGGGGUAGAAUUCUGUGCAGUGCAUGAUAACACAUUAUAAACUGAGACC
This 271-nucleotide small nucleolar RNA is filed under the name Xenopus laevis (African clawed frog). RNAcentral's name for it is "Small Cajal body specific RNA 6". It matches the Rfam family "Small Cajal body specific RNA 6". Rfam says of the family: U88 is small Cajal body specific RNA (scaRNA). scaRNAs are a novel class of small nuclear RNAs which localise to the Cajal bodies. U88 is found associated with both fibrillarin and Gar1p and co-localises with coilin in Cajal bodies. The record is from Rfam by way of RNAcentral. Lineage: Eukaryota; Metazoa; Chordata; Amphibia; Anura; Pipidae.